UACGUAGGGACCAAGCGUUGUUCGGAUUUACUGGGCGUAAAGGGAGCGUAGGCGGCAAUUCAAGUCAGUUGUGAAAUCUUCGAGCUUAACUCGGAACGGUCAACUGAUACUGCUUUGCUAGAGUACAGAAGGGGCAAUCGGAAUUCUUGGUGUAGCGGUGAAAUGCGUAGAUAUCAAGAGGAACACCUGAGGUGAAGACGGGUUGCUGGGCUGAUACUGACGCUGAGGCUCGAAAGCCAGGGGAGCAAACGGGAUUAGAUACCCCGGUAGUCCUGGCCCUAAACGAUGAAUACUUGGUGUCUGGAGUUUUAAUUCUCCGGGUGCCGUCGCUAACGUUUUAAGUAUUCCGCCUGGGGAGUACGUACGCAAGUAUGAA
RNAcentral lists this ribosomal RNA (376 nucleotides) under uncultured bacterium. RNAcentral describes it as "bacterial SSU rRNA". It matches the Rfam family "Bacterial small subunit ribosomal RNA", at positions 524 to 898 of the family's 1533-position model. The record is from RNAcentral.